UUCGUAACUUCGAUGAUCGUUGAUGAUAUCUCUAAAAAAGGAUAGAUAGAACACUCUUAAAAUUUAAACCCCGAAACCUUUUCCCAGUGUUUUUUCCUGAAUGUGAUAAUGGGUGUUAAAUCCUCUUAUGUAUUCUGUGGGACCACCUUGAGCAUGAAGUAUAAUCUUUUUGAUUGCUAUUUAUGGUUUUUUAUGGUGAAUGAUCAGUUACACUAAGUUUAAAGAUCCAAUGUAGCGCCUUAACCCUUUUCUCUUUAUUUCGAUACAUGUUAAUUCAUUGGAGUCCAAAUAGAAUCUUUGCAUUCCCUAAUGGGCCAAUAAGGCCCAUCCAUUGAAUCGAGCUCGGAAGAGAGUAUAAUGUAGCAUAGCAUACGAAUGAGAGUCGUUGAAGGAAGAAUAAAGUAGAUCAGAGUUUCAUCUUUGAAGCAGCUAUGAGAUUCGAAAGUCUCAUUUAUUAUUUUGUCCAUUUACUUAUUGCCAUCUUUAUUUAUUUAUUUAUUUUCUUAUUUACGCAUUUGGGCCUCAAGCCAAAGUUGUACUUAAUACAGGUGAAGCGGGACUCGAGCUAAAGGCUCAAAAACAUAGAAUUAGGACAGGUGAAAAUGGGUCGACAACCCAACUAGAUUAGGACAGGGUCGACGGUUUGGGCUUAAAAGUCUAAAUCACUACUUCCCCGUUUUUCCCCUUUUCCUUUCAUUUACUUGUUUGCUUGUCUCUUUGUGAACCUAGUUAAAUCCCUAACUAAGUCGCUAAAAAACUGAUUUCGCGAAAACCUUUUCCUUAACCAAUUACUUUUUCAACAAACCGAUCUUCCAAAGUUAGUCAAAAGACGUUUUCAAACAGUCUAGAUAACCGCAAGUUAGCGGACGUUUUAGGUGCCUAACACCUUCCUAAAACGUUAAUAGGAACCACUUAAUCGGAAUCUUCAAAACUUAAAAUGAUUUUUCUAUUUUGAAUCGUUUGAAUUAACUCUCUAAAGGUUUCUUAAUUCCUUUUCAAAAUUAAGUGGCGACUCUCAAAAAGUCAAAAUUUCUACAAAACAGAAAUGGCGACUCUGGUGGGGAAUUUUUGAACUAGGUUCUAACCAAAUGUUUGAUUUCGUCUUUUGAUUAACUAUUUAUGUGUUUAUAUGUUUCGAUUCUAUAAAUAUUAAACUAUCGCAUCUCAUGGCAUAUUCCUGCAUUAUUUAAACUGUUUCGAGGUUUCGUGGAUGUCUCAUCCCCUGUUGUUCAAUUUCAAAAUGUGUUGGAAAUACGAACGACUUAUUAGCACAUGAGUCGUCUGACGCUGUUCAUAUUUUCAAACUCAAGUUGUCCGCUUGAGAACCAGUGUUCAAACCCACUCUAGACACCGAGGAUAGAACAAAACCAAAACCCUAUUUUAGGCAUGAGCCUAGGAUGACCCAAUACCCGAGCGGGGUAUUGGGCCCAUUAGAAAACCUGCCCUGCGUCUAUUGACCCUGAGUCAAUUACAGACGAAUCAUAUUUAUGUGUUGAAAAAAUACAUGCUUGUCUAAUUCAAUCUACUAUCCUUUGGGGUCGGGGGAAGGCUUAUCUUUGUCUGCUUUCAUAUAAGAUAUGGCUCAACUACAUUCCUAUGAAAAGUUCAAGAUGGUUACUAAACCUGAUAAUUUCUUGAAACUAUGGUGGGACAACAUGAGCGCAGAAGAGAAAAAGAUUGUAAGAACACACAUUAGGCAUCUUCCUUCUUUGAUCGAGAUAGACGCUUGGCCCGAAAUGAUCCAUGUAGUAACAACUUUUUGGGAUGAUCAGAAUAUGGUAUUUCGCUUUGGGGAUGUUGAAUUGACUCCUAUCAUUGAAGAGUUAUUGAUUUGUUACGAGAGUAUGGAAAUAUGUUUUAAGAGAAGGGAGAUGCCUGAUAAGAACAUUUUACUCCCGGUUAUGUGGGAUCGUCAAAAGAUCGAGGUAUUUUUAACUGACGACGACACCUGGCUAGGAGAACGUGAUGGAGCAAAUAUCACUUUUUGUGAGUUGUAUCGUUGGUUCGGAAGAUUCAAUGCUUUUCACAAAUUUGGGCAUAAAUAUGAGUCAAAAGCAAAAUGGAAGGAGACGAGAGCCUUUGCGUUUGCGGUAGGCCUACUUGGAACCAUGACGUUCCCACAAAGGGAUAAUGGCACAAUUCAUCCGAGGGUUGUCUCAGUGACCCAUGAACUCUUCUUUGGAAUGGAGUACAAUUCUAAAAAGGUAUUCCACAACUUAGCUCCCAUGAUUUUUGCCGACAUAUAUCAAGCUUUGGGAAGCGGUCAAAUCGAGAAUCAUUUCUUUCAAGGCUGUAACCUUAUAUUACAAUGGAGGAUGAUGAUGCAUUUGGUGAAAAAUCGUAGAAUGGCACGACCCGACCACAAAACAAGGUGGAAUCUGCUAGAAUCGCAUAUCAUGUGGUUGUUUUUACACAAAUUCAAAAGGGAAGCAUCUCAUGAAUUUUGGUUUAAGACUCUUGGAGAAUUAAGAGAUGAUGAUGUCCAAUGGUCCAUUAACUAUCUUCGUUCAGGGAAAUACAUUAUUCGAGGAGGCGAGUGGCCUUUUUUAGUGAUUUUGGGUCUCAGGGGAACCCAUCCCUACAAUCCUGGCAGAGUUCUUAGGCAAUUCGAGAUCAAGCAGGAGACGCCUCAAAUCGAUUCUAUGCUCAGAUUCUUCACCGAAUAUGAUGAAAGCGAGCCCCCGCUCAAAGACUACAUGAUAAAUGAAUGGAGAAGGAGAUGGUGGACAGAAGUCUCUUUCCGUAUAGGGUAUGAACCUGAAGUCAGCGAUACUUACAAGGAGUGGUUAAAAAAGAGCCUUCCUGGAGCAUUGAUUCCGGGGCCGAACGUGCCCACUCGGGUAGUGGAUGUAGAAUCCGAGCAUCAAAUCCGACUCCACAGGCUUCAGGAUAAGUUUCAGAAAAAUGAAAUCGCGUACCGACAGAUGUAUGUAGAAGAUGCUUUAACAAUACAUAUGUUGAGAGAAGAGUUAAAAAGAGCUAGGCAAAAGGCUGAUGAUGCUAGGCAGUGUUUAAUCAAUUUGGAUGAUAGCAUGGCCUCUUAACUCGAUAGUAUAGGAAAAAUGACUUACGACAGCAAGGCACAGUUAUGCGGGAGUCAUCUGAUCAUCAAUACGUAUCAAAUAUCACAGGAGGUGAACAAGGAAAAGAAGGAAAAGGCAGACGAAGGAGCCUCCGGUAGCUAGUUUUUCUAUUUCCCCUGCGCGGGAACUUAUUUUCUUUCAUAUUAUUUCCCUGUUUCCCUGAAGAUUGUAUCUCCCUUUUGUUAUCUUUUGUAGGCAUUUAUGCCGUUUUUCGUGUCUACAUAAGUUGGGGGAUAAUGGAUUGACUUUAAGAAAACAUAUAUUUUCUUCAAAAUCGUUAGGCCUGAACCCUUAGCUCAAGUAGGGCCACCCCAGUUAGGAUACGCAUUAUUAUAAUGUUGUGUAAUAUAAUUAUCUUAUGCGCUUAUGUGUGUUUCUUUGGAUCAAAGGCAAGUUUAUCCGCUAUACUCCUAUGGGUAAAUUUGGCUAUGACUCAAACAACUCUACGUGGUUAUUUUUUGUCAAAUAUUUUGCAUUACUCAUCACAUACGGAAACUAACACAUCUGCCUUUAAGUUGUUUUACUUUACAGAUAAUAGAAACUACUCCGUGUUGAUAUAAGAUGGCAGGACAUCCCUACUUCACCCAGUCAAAAGCGCACAAAAUCCCAUCCCCUGACCAUCUUUCAAUAAUGACCGAAAAUAAUGAAGAAAAUGCAUUGACCAUCAGGGAAAAUCUAAUCGCGAAAUAGAGUGAGAUGAUUGCGGAAUUUGCAAGAAAGCUUGAAAUGCUUCAGGAGGAAAUAAAUCGUACUCGAGAUUUGGCUCACCUGGCCAUCAAUGUUAAUGCUCCCGCUCUAGGAGGACACGGGACUCCACUCCAAAUCCCUUCCCUCAGUACGCCUAUUCUCGGGGAUCAUCCAAAUAACAUAUUGUCUGUCUUUGCCCUUCCACUUUUCCAAAAUACCAAUCUUGAAAAUAACCUAGAUGCCUACCAUCCACAAAAUCCAUCUCUAACACCACAAAACCCAUCUUCGAAUCCAUUCCCAAAUCCCCAGAACCCAUUUGCAAAUCAAAAAAAUUCAUGUCCAAAUCCACAAGAUUCACUACCAAAUCCACAAAAUCCAUCCCCGAAUCUUCUAUUGAAUCUAUCCCAGAAUCUACAAAAUUCGUUUCCAAAUUCGUAAAAUCCUUCUCAGAUGCCACCAAACUACUCGCAAAUUCCACAAAACCUUUUUAUAUUUCAAAACGUCCUCCCCACCUAUCAACCAACUUUCUUUCAUCCAAAAAAUCAAGAAUCCCUUCCAAAUCCCCCUCAUGCCAUCAUAUCCCCCGACAUCUAUAAUCCCCUUCCUAAUCUUGAGAUGGACCAUUAUGAAGAGAAGGAGAAAGAGUGGAGGACCGAGCAUGAAAUGAAGUUGCUAGCUAUGAAUGAAGAAAUCAUGAGGAUUAAAGAAUCUCAUGGAGCGAGGGACCACGAUUGUUUAGGGUACGAUGACUUAUGCGUUCACCGUGGUGUAGAUCUACCAGAAGGGUACAAGGUCCCCAAGUUUGAAAUGUUUGAGGGUGCCAGAAAUCCAAUGACCCAUCUGAGGAGGUACUGCGAGCAACUGGUGGGGAUCGGGAAAAAUGAGGCGUUACUGAUGCGCCUAUUCAGAUAAAGUUUAAGCGGUGAAGCCUUAGAGUGGUUCAUGUCUCAGCAGCCGAAAAUAUGGACUGGUUGGAAAGCAUUGGCCGAGGGUUUCCUCGACAGGUUCGCAUUCAACAUUGAAAUAGUCCCGGACCAGUAUUCACUAGAUCGAAUCAAAUAGAAGACUGAUGCGAGUUUUCGAGACUAUGCUUUUCAUUAGAGGAAGGAAGCUGCCAAAGUACAACUCCCCAUGUCCGAGGAAGAAAUGGUAUCUGUAUUCUCUCGCGCUCAAGAAGGAGAAUAUUAUACCAGGAUGGUGUCUGCUAUCAGGGUGACUUUUGUAGAUUUGGUAAAAAUAAGCGAAUCAUUGGAAGAAGGUAUUCAGACAAGAAAAAUUACCAAAACCCCGACAUCGUCCGGGACUGCCAUGUUCUCGAAGAAGAAAAAGGAAGAUGUAGGCACAACUUCUGCUAGUUCUGUUGCCAAAAAAAAAAAGAGGUUCAACUCUUGGAAUGCUUUCUCUUCUCCGUCAUGACCAGACCUUUAGCAUGUGUUCUACGCCCACCCCCAAUACCAAGCUCUACUUUCAAAUGUCCAACCUCAGUACCAAACUCCACUCCCAAAUAUCCAAUCUCAGUACCAAACUCCACUCCCAAAUAUACAAUCCUAAUACCAAGCUCCACAGCCAAAUAUCUUUCCCCAAUACCAAGUUCCACCUCCAAAUUAUCAGUCUCAUGUCCAAUCCACUCUUUUAAAUAACCAAACAAAUAUCCAAGCACCUCUAAAUUAUCAUCAAGUACCUCCUCCUGCAAACCAAAGCCACUAUAACCCCCCACGUCCAAACUACGAAAAAAAACCUCUCGGAAACUUCACACCACUAGCUGAAAGUCGCACUCAAUUGUUUGAAAGACUGAAGAAUGUCAGUCGUUUGCAACUGAUACAGUCAAAGUAUGUCAAUCCCAACUCCCGAUUUUAUCAUCCUGAUCAAAAUUAUGCCUAUCAUUCAGGAGUAGCAGUGCACAGUAUCGAGGAGUGUAUUACCUUGAAACAUAAGAUCCAAGAUCUGAUUGAUCAAAAGGUCAUCACGCUUCAGUCACCAAUGCCAAAUGUCAACAGUAACCCAUUGCCUAACAUGGGGGACCUACAGUUAACAUGAUUGAGAUAAAAGAAGAAUGGACGUCUUGCAAGACUAUUACUAAGGUGAAUUCAGAAAAGUGCAAAAGGGUGGAAGAGGUAGAAAAGAUAGAGAGAGCUGUGGCUGCCUUAAGUGUCAAUGAGAAAGCCCCAUUUAUAGUGAUGACGACCCCGAUCCAAGUGUACACUCCCCCGCCAAGGAAGGAAUUUAUUAUACAGACUGCUACUGCCCAAAGGAUGACACGAUCGGGACGAUGAUACAUUCCUGAAGAAUUGAUCAACAAAAAAGAUUCACAGAAAAGAAGGGGAGGCUGAGGAAUUUUGGAGGCGUAUGCAACCAAAAGACAAUUCAAUUGUCAAACAUUUAGAGAAGACUCCAGCCUAAAUUUCCAUUUUGGCAUUAUUAAUGAAUUCGCAAUACCACCGACAAGAUCUAUCAAAGGUCUUGGAUGAAGCGUAUGUUCCCGCAGGAAUGAGUGUUAAGAACUUGGCUGCAAUGAUAGAAAAUAUUGUGGGGAAUCAUCGCAUAUCAUUCAGUGAUGAAGAGUUGUCGUUUGAGGGAGCGAUGCACAACAAAGCCUUGUAUGUCACUGUCAUUUGCCAAGACUAUACGAUUAAUCAGGUAUUGAUAGAUGACGGAUCUGGUAUGAACAUUUAUACUCUCUCCAUGUUGGUUAAAAUGGGCAAUGAUUUGGGAAAAAAUCAUCAAAGCCACGUAAAUGUGAGAGCAUUUGAUGGAGGGCAGAGAGAUACCAUAGGAGAAAUUGAUUUGUACAUCCAAAUGGGACAUGCUGAGUUCAAAAUUAAGUUUCAUGUUAUGGAUAUUUAUCCUAGCUACAACCUGCUGUUGGGAAGACCAUGGAUACAUGGUGCAAAGGCCAUUUCAUUACCCCUUCAUCAACUAUUGAAUUUCAUUUAGGAGGAUCAUAAAGUAGUCAUCCAAGGGGAAAGAAGCCGAGCGGAUCAUCCCAAUGAUUAUGUGUCGGUGAUUGGAGAUAUUCCAUAGGGUAGUAGUUUCUAUACGAUGGAAAUUGUAAAUACUGUGGAGAAGAAUCUAAUGCUCAAAGCGCCAAUGCCUUCUCUCUACAAAAUGAUUGCGACGGUGAUGAUAAAAAAUGGAUUCGAGCCUGGUCGGAGUUUGGGUAAGAGUCUACAAGGAAUUAUUGAGCCUAUUAUGAUCCCAGAGAAGGCCUCUAAGUAUGGGUUAGGAUAUCGGCCUACAAAGGAGGAUGAGAUUGAGAAUGAGUCAGAGGCGAGUCUGUUUAGGCCCUUACCGCUCCUGUACCAGUCAUUUCCCGUACGUGAGAUGUCAAAUGAUGAUGGUCUUGGGGAUGGGAUAGGAAAUCUGUUCGAGGAAUGCAGUGCUAUACCAAAAGAUUUCCUAAUGUCCAGUGGGGUGAAUAAGAUUGCACCAGGGGAGUCCUUGCAAAACUGGACCUCCACUCCAUUCAUAACUCGUCACCCAUCGUGGUAGAUGAAAGGGCAAUUACUAAUAGUUUUUUAAAAUCAGUGAUGAUCUGGAUGAGGCCCUGCAAUCCAUCCUUUACAUCUCAAAUUUCCUUUUUGUAUUUUACUGCUUUCAAAAGGCAUGAGCUUGUGUUUGCACGAGUCAUGAGCCAUAUUUUAUAAUUAUCUCUCAAAUUUUAAUAAAAAGGCCUUCCCUUAUUUUGAAUAAAAUAAAAUAAAUAAAUAAUAAUAAAAAAUUAUUUUUCUAAACACCACUAUUUGUACAUUUUAUUUUUAUCUUGUUAUCAUCUAACUUGAUUUGUUUGUUUAUUACAAUAACCGUAACUUAAAACCUGCCAACGUCAUGUCAUGUCAAAUCUUAGACGAACAAAAUAAGGGGAAGGAUAAUGAUUGGAAGGGAGGCGAUGAGAAAUGAUUAGUUGAAGAUGAGGAAGAGUUUGAGAACCGGGAGAAGCCCAACCUAGAGGAAAUUGAAACAGUCAACCUCGAAGAUCCUGAUAAAAUCAAAGAAACAAAUGUCAGUGUCCACCUUAUGGAAGCAUAAAAGAGAGAGAUCAUUCACCUAUUGUGGGAAAAUAUUGACGUGUUUGCUUGGUCCUAUGAUGAUAUGCCGGGAUUGAGCACCAGUAUUGUAUCACAUAAGUUACCGAUAAAUCCAGAGUUUGAUCCAGUCAAGUAAAAAAUACGGAAAUUCAAGCCAGAUUUAAGUCUAAAGAUCAAGGAAGAAGUGACAAAAGAAAUCCAGUCUAAGGUUGUAGAGGUCACAAAAUAUCCGACGUGGCUAGCUAACAUCGUCCCAGUGCCGAAGAAAGAUGGCAAGAUUCGAAUUUGUGUUGACUAUAGAGACUUGAAUAGAGCCAGUCCUAAAGAUAAUUUUCCGUUGCCCAACAUCCACAUCCUCAUCGAUAACUGCGCAAAGCAUGAAAUGUAGUCAUUCAUUGAUUGUUUCAUCGGGUAUCAUCUGAUAUUGAUGGAUGAUGAAGAUGUAGAAAAGACGGUUUUUAUUACGCCCUGGGGUGUUUAUCAUUACAGGGUAAUUUCGUUUGGUCUAAUAAAUGCGGGUGCAACAUUUAUGAGGGCUAUGAAGACAAUUUUCCAAGAUAUGAUCCAUAAAGAGAUUGAGGUGUACGUGGAUGAUAUAAUUAUCAAAUCCCGUGAGAGUUCGGAUCAUCUGACUCAUCUGGAGAAAUUCUUCAAUAGAUUAAGAAAGUACAGUUUGAAGUUAAAUCCUGCUAAGUGUGCUUUUGGUGUGCUAUCAGGGAAGUUGUUAGGGUUUAUAGUCAACAGAAGAGGCAUUGAGCUAUACCCAUCAAAAAUUAAGACAAUUCAGGACUUACCAUUGCAGAGGACCAAGAAGGAAGUUAUGAGUUUCAUGGGUCGUUUGAAUUACAUUAGCAGGUUCAUCGCUCAGUCAACGGUCAUAUGCGAGCCAAUUCUCAAGAUGUUGAAGAAAAAUGCAUUGAAUGAGUGGACAGAAGAAUGACAGAGGACUUUUGACCGUAUCAAAGAAUAUUUGUCUGCACCGCCGGUUUUGGUUCCGCCAAGAGAAGGAAUUCUGUUAUUGCUUUACCUGUCAGUCUCAGAAAAUGCAUUUGGAUGUGCCCUCAGGAAACAUGAUGAGACCGGUAGGAAAGAGAAAGCCAUUUACUACUUGAGUAAAAAGUUUACACCAUAUGAAGCCCGUUACACUCUUGUAGAAAGGACAUGUUAUGCUUUGACUUGGGCCGCACAAAAGUUGAGGCAUUAUCUAUCUUCGUACACGAAAUACCUCAUCUCGAGAAUGGAUCCAUUGAAGUAUAUAUUCCUGAAGGCCAUGCCCACAGGAAAGCUAGACAAGUGGCAAAUGUUGCUGAGCAAGUUUGACAUCCUGUAUGUAACUCAAAAAGUAAUCAAGGGGCAAGCUUUGGCAGAUCAUUUGGCAGAGAAUCCAGUUGAUGAUGAAUAUGAACCACUUCGAACUUACUUCCCAGAUGAGGAAAUUCUAUUCGUGAGAGAAGACAUUACAGAAAUUUACCCUGGAUGGAGGUUAUUAUUUGAUGGAGCGGUCAACUUCAAAGGUUCAGGAAUCAGAGCAGUGUUGGUCUCAGAAAUGAGUCAACAUUAUCCAAUAACUGCUAAGUCAUGUUUCCCAUACACCAAUAACAUGGAAGAAUAUGAAGCUUGCAUCCUGGGUCUAAAAUUGGCACUUGAUAUGGGUGUUCGUAAAUUGCUAGUCGUCGGGGAUUCAAAUUUGCUGAUUCACCAAGAACGGGGAGAAUGGGCAGUAAAAAAUUCCAAGAUUACUCCUUAUGUUGAGCUGGUACAGGAAUUAUGUGGAAAAUUCAAAGAAGUUGAUUUCAGACAUAUCCUAAGGAUACAAAAUAAGUUUGUUGAUGCUUUGGAUACUAUAUCCUCCAUGAUUCGGCACUCAGAUCAGAGUUACAUUGAUCCUUUAGAAAUAAGCUUGAAGGAGCAACCUGCGCAUUGUGCACGUGUUGAAGAAGAGCCCGAUUGAAAGCAAUGGUACUAUGACAUUAAAAGGUAUUUAGAAUCUGGAAUAUAUCCUGAAGAGGCCAGCAACAACCAAAAGAAAACAAUCCGGCGUUUGGCAAAAAACUACUUUCCAAGUGGGGAAUUUCUUUUUAGGAGGAUGCCUGAUUUAGGAUUUUUAAGAUGCGUCGAUGCUGCGAAAACCAAUAAAUUGAUAAAAAAAAGUACACGCAGGAGUUUGCGGACCCCACAUAAAUGGGUUUGUCCUUACCAAAAAGAUCCUGAGAACCGGCUACUUCUGGAUGACUAUGGAGAAUGAUUGUAGUAAGUAUGUGCAGAGAUGUCCAAAAUGUCAGACACACGGAGAUUUGAUUCGAAUGCCUCCACACGAGCUUCAUGCAAUGAAUUCACCUUGGCCUUUCGUAGCUUGGGGCAUGGAUGUUAUCGGACCGAUAGAGCCAUCAUCAUCGAAUGGGCAUAGAUUUAUUUUGGUUGCCGUUGACUACUUCACUAAGUGGGUCGAAGCUACGUCAUACAGAGCUGUCACUAAGAAAGUGGUUGCAGAUUUCAUCAGGAAUAACUUGAUUUGGUGAUUUGGAGUGCUGGAAUCAAUCAUUACUGAUAAUGGGGUAAACUUGAACAGUCACUUGAUGAAAGAAAUUUGUGAUCAGUUCAAAAUCGUGCAUCGUAACUCAACUGUAUAUCGUCCACAGAUGAAUAGAGCCAUAGAAGCUGCCAAUAAGAACAUCAAGAAGAUCUUGAGAAAGAUAGUCAAAAAUGAUAGUUCAUGGCAUGAGAUGUUACCUUAUGCUUUACUAGGAUAUCGCACAACAGUUUGAACCUUCAUCGGGGCAACUCCUUAUUUUCUGGUUUAUGGGAAUGAAGCUGUGGUACCUGCUGAGGUUGAAAUACCUUACCUGAGGAUUAUUCAAUAAGUCGAACUAAGUAACGAAGAGUGGGUUCACGUUCGUUGUGAACAACUCAUAUUGAUUGAUGAAAAGAGAAUGGUUGCCAUGUGUCAUGGUCAGUUAUAUCAGCACAGGAUGAUUCGUUCUUUCAACAAAAAAGUGAGGGCUCGAACAUUUGAAGUUGGGCAAUUAGUUCUCAAACGCAUACUCCCUCACCAAGAAGAGUACAAGGGCAAGUUUGCUCCAAAUUGGCAAGGUCCAUACAUAGUUCGUAAGGUACUAUCUGGAGGUGCUCUAAUUUUGUCUGAGAUAGAUGGCCAUGAGUAGACCAAACCAAUCAAUUCUGAUGCGGUGAAAAGAUACUAUGUUUGAAGGGCAUUCUAGUUUUGUGGUUCUUAGUUUAUCUGUAAUCUCCGUGUAAUUAUGUGUUUUAUGAUAUGUAAUUACCUAGAACACCUUUCCCUUUAUGUACGAACAACGUUUGACCUGAAUUCCCAAAAAAGGGAUACAUAGGCGGCCUAUAUCGGCUUCGGUCAACCCCUUAGAAAAUUUAUCCUUUCCCUUUAUGUAUGAACUACGUGAUGACCUGAAUUCCCAAGAAAGGGAUACGUAGGCGGCCUAUGUCAGCUUUGGUCAACCCAUUAAUUUCUUUUGUAUAUCCCUAGCAUAGUCCUGAACUACGUUUGACCUGAUUUCUGCUUCAACGAGAUACGUAGGCGCCCCAACGGCUAGGUCAUAUAACCCCAGGAAAUGAAAACUGGGGUAGAAUUUUUGAGAAGGAAUCUCAAAAAUUAAUAAGAGAAGAUCAACAUCUAACAAAGAGAAUGAAGAUCAGCAAAGACUUCAGAUCUACUCAAGAUGAUAUCAUCUCAGACUACUUUAAACUGGGGCAGAAAUUUUGAAGGAGGCCUCAAAAUUUCAAUCAAAUACUGGAAUAUAUUUCAGAUUCCCUAGCACUAGAGGUCGAAUUUGAGAUUUAAGAAUAACCACCUGUGAUAAAGUCUAGGAAGACUGAAUCUCCAUCUUUGAUAAAACCUCUGGUAGAGAGCCUCGACAAUGCUGAAUCCCUAGCUAUCCUCCGUUAAACAUCAGACAUUAUCAGAAUCAAGAGAAAGAAGGUCGUUGAGCUAGCACAUGAAAUGACUAGCAGACAUUAAUUGGGAGGGAGAGUCAUGGGUAAAAGUACCAACAUGACGAAGUACCUGAAAGAUGGCAAGGGAAAAAUCAAGGAUCGAAGGAGGUCAACAUAGAGUAGUUUCAUUCAAACUAAUCAUUUUUUGUGGAUACAGGAAUUGAUACACAAAAAUGAGCGUUUCUCUCGAAAAAUCCCCAAGCAAUCCGGGAGCCAUGACAGAGCAUAUAAUGCUUAAUAACGGUACUUUUGAUAGCCCAAAAAUGGGCUCAACACCCAUUUAUCGAUGACCUUUCGAAUUGUCCAUCUCAUUUCUUAAGAUCUUAGAGGAAAAACAAAAGUGUCUUGUCUUCUUUGCAAAUAUUUUAUUCAGAAUUUUUCUAAAAAAUGGUCGCUAGAAAAAGUGACUUUGUGUCUAAUAAUCGUCUACCUUGAGUACAGGUACAUGUAGAAAUCAAGACAUUGACAAACGAAUUCAGGUGAAACUAUUUUUAAACAACCGGAAGGACCAUUGCAUAUCAUUGCCGAGAGGGUCAUUGUAUAUCAAUGCCUAGAGGGCCAUUGCAUGUCAUUACCAAGAGGGCCAUUGCAUAUCAUUGCCGAGAGGGCCAUUGCAUAUCAUUGCCAAGAGGGCCAUUGCAUAUCAUUGCCAAGAGGGCCAUUGCAUAUCAUCAUCAUUUAAUAUCUGUUGACGCGCUAGACAGAAACACUGGCGUCGAGGGUAUCAUCAUCAUUCAAUAUCUGUUGACAUGUUAGACAGAAACAUUGGCUUUGAGGAUAUCAUCAUCAUUCAAUAUCUGUUGACGCACUAGACACAACACUGGCAUCACGGAUAUCAUCAGCAUUCAAUAUAUCUGUUGACAUGCAAGACACAACGCCGGCAUUGAGGAUAUCAUCAUCAUUCAAUAUCUGUUGAUGCGCUAGACAUAAUGCUGGUGUCGAGGAUAUCAUCAACAUUCAAUAUAUUUGUUGACACGCAAGACACAACGUUCGCGUCGAGGAUAUCAUCAUCAUCAUCAUUUUAUAUCUGUUGACACACAAGACAUAAAUGCUAGCGCCAAGGAUAUCUCAUUAUUUUAUGAAUCAGUAUUUGAAUACAUCGAGAGCACACGAUUUGAAGGAACGCCUUUAAAUCGCUAUCUAAGGAUGAAUGAUAUAUAAGAUUUCCUAGAAAUUGACAAUUUGAGGGUCAUCUAUAAGUCAUAUUAUUUUAAAUAGGAUAGUGUCCAAGAUCAACUAUGAGUUCAUAGCCUAUAGGUCAUCCGUAAGCCACAACAACAUCCUAACCGGAUAGUGUGCAAGAUCGCCCAAAAAUUGAUAGUUCAAAGGUUAUCCAUAAGUUGCAACUAAAUCCCUACCGGAGAAUAUGCAAGAUUAUCAAAUUGAUACGUCCAAGGGUUCUCUAUAAGCCGCGUCAUAUCAAAGAUCGAUUAUGUGCAGGAUUACCCAAAGACUAACAAUUUGAGAGAUUAUCUAUAAAUCAUAUUGUAUCUAAGGUCGGAUGAUGUGCAGGAACCCCUGAAAGCUAGCGAUUGGAGGGAUAUCUGUAAGCCAUCUCUUAUCCAAAGUCGGAUAAUGUGCAGGAUUACCUAAAAGCUAGAAAUUCAAAGGAUAUCUGUAAGUCUCCUCGUAUCCAAUAUCAAAUAAUGUGCAAGAUUAUCCAAAGAUUGAUAAUUUAAAGGAAAUUUAUAAAUCGAUCAUCGUCAAUAACCAAAAAAGUUAUCCUUCCACAUAUAACAAGAAUUAUAGGUGACCGAAGAAGUUACCACAUCUACACAAUAUUACACGGUUGCAAGGACCGUUCUUCAUAAAAUAUCAUCGAUGUCUGAAGGGCCACCCCGCUUUGAAGAUAUAUUGAACCGACAAAUAUCAUAAUUAUACAAUAACCAAGAAUGUUGUUGUGCCUAUUAUUGCAAGUUAUUUCCUUCCAAAUAGGUAUAAGAAAGGAUGACUUCUCUUUUUAGACAACAACUCAUGCGGAGAUAUGAUAAAAUACUAUUUACCUCUUUCGUGAGUUAUGCUUAUCACUAAUGAUUUUUGUUUGAGAUAUUGUCGAGAGCAUCCGAGAGGAUAAAAAUAUCAAACCAAAACCAUAGGUGCGGAUAACUCCAAAAAGGACGCAGCACAACGUGGAACUCUUUCUUUGCAGUAAAACGGGACAUAGUUUAGAGAAGGACGUCAAACUCUCUCGACGCAAGCUAAAGGAUGAUCACCACCACCAUCUAACCACACCCAUUUUAGAAGGCAUGUGGGUAUUUUGGGAUAUUCUGGUUUCAGCUUCACCUCCGGGAUAUUUUCUUCACUCAUACCGAGGGUAACCUUCUCUUUCUUUUAAAUUCGGGUGACAACAUACUUAGAGUUUUGGAAAUUAUUUCCAGGUAAGUUCUUAUCUAUGGGUGUGAAGGAUCCCACAUUCAUGAUUAAGAGGUUACAAGCCUCUUUUCCGCAACUCAGUCAACUUGUCACUCAUCCUGAUCCAAAGAUUGUCUGAAAAUAGAAGACUAUCUUUUCUACCGAUAAAGUCGAACUACAAGCAGUCUGAUUCCUUGAGUCUCAGGGAUAUGCAGGCUGGACUCUAUGUAGAAAACUCGACUGUAUUCCAACCUCCCUCCAAAUCCCUCUAUUCCCCAGCUUUUUGGUUUUAUCAAAAACUUUAAAACCGAGAUAGCUUGUGAAAUUUUCUUGAAAAUCGUGCUUGCAAUCAAGCUUUAUGAACUACAAGUGGCCUGAAUUCUCAUAUAACCUGAGAUAUGUAGGAAACCUGAAACCGAGGCCCUGGCAUAACUCCAUGAAACUCAUAUGAAAAUCAACCUCUUUCAGAAACGAAUUUAUGGUCGUAAGAAAUUAGGAACGUCAACCUCCCUUUGCUAAGGGUUACUUGCAUCCACUCUACCCAAAGGGAGGGGGCAGUUGUUGACACCUAAUUUUUGCCCUCUGCAAUCCAAUUUAACUUCGAGUUUCUUUAAUUUUAAAACAAAAUCACAAUAAUUAUUUUGCUCAAAUAAAUGCUGAUUGAAGUAUUUAUUCAAGGUAAUUUUAUCAUUUAAUUAACUAUUAUAUAUUUUUCGUAUUUUUUAUAUGAGUGUGUAUAAAUUUUGUUAUUUGAAUGAACAUUUUAUCAAAAUUAAAUUUUUUAUUGAUUAAACUUGAAAAUGAAUUCAAAUAGAUAAAAUCUUGGUUUUAAAUAUGAUUUACUCUCAAAAUAUUUUAUUUGGAGGAAUAUUUAUUGAAUUUUUUUAUCAAAUUAAGAAACUCGAGGUUAAUUUGUUAGUUGAUUCAUGCCAGAUUGCGAUUCAAUUUAGCGAACGAAUUAAAUGCGACCUCAAUUGAAAUCAAAUUGGCCCCAAUUGUAAUGUAAUUGAUCAAUAGAUAUUCAAUUUGGUUAUAAUUUAAAUAGGUCGUUUAAAUUGUAAUUCAAUCUUAAUCCCCAAAGUUACCAUUUCUUAAUUGAGAUUUUUUUAAUUCGAUUAAAUUUAAUUAGAGUUAUUUUUAAUCCAAUUAAAUUUAAUUAGGGUUAUUUAAUAACCCAAUUAAAUUUAAUUGGGGUUAUUAAAUAACACCAAUUUCAGCCCUUUUCUUAUCUUUAAUCACAAAAACCCAACAAUAAUCAACCCAACAGCCCAUUUAAUUUUAGUUUUUCUAGCCCACUACCCCUUUGCCUGACUCGGGCCCAAUUCAGCUUCUUCUCUAAAUCAGUAAGAACAAUCCUCCACCAAGUACAACCUCAGCCAAAUCACGACAACCUCCUCCAUCGAUAAUCAACUCCAAAUGACCCUAACCCGUAUUCCUCGAAAUCCGAUGAGUCAUCUUCUCAACGUAGACCCGAGCUCCAACCUGCCUAUUUCUUUUGCGUCACAUGGCUCUCACGCGAGGAGGUGUGAAGAAAACUUGAGAACCCUUUAGAAACAUGCUUAGGUGUCCCCCUCUAAUGGAUACCUCCGUGAAUCGCGUCUUACUUGUACAAAUUCGUACAUAUUUGGCGAUUUUUCAUUGGGUAUGGGGGAGAAUUCAUUUCUCCCCAAUUCUAUUGGUCCAUCAUAUCCAAAAAUUGGUAUGAAUUGAGACGAAAAUGGGAUAUGGGGGGAUAUUUUCAGAUUUAAAAUUCAAAAUAACUUUUUUCAAAGCCGAAAAAGGACCCUUAAUUUGUCUUCUAUAUAUAGACCCCUUGGGUCACUAUUUUGGGGGAUUUUUUUGGGGGAUUCUUGGCUCAAAGGUUCUAAGUUUGGGGCUAGAAAUUUUGCAGAAGUUUUUUUUGUGGGUUCGAAUGAUUCGAAAAUUGGGAGACGGGGGAUUCAGAAAAAGCUAAGGGAGAGAAAACUUUCUUUGAGGAAAAACUCAGUAAAACCUUUAAUUUUCUAGUAGGUUUUUGAAGUCGUCGAUUGAUCGAAACUCUAGAGAGGUCGAUUUUCAGUGGUGUUAGAAUCCGAUAUUAGCUCGAAAGUCUCAUUUUGCUGCCACGAAAUAGGUGACACUCCGUUUCUUUUAUCUUUUGAAUGUUUUUUACUUUAUCUCCACUUCUGUAGUCGUAUGAAUGCUUUGUUAUGAGUAUUGUGUGCUGGUAUUGUGUGCUGUAGAGGUCUUGUAAGACCAUAGGAUACGUUGGAUGAAGAUAAUGUUUGUCGUAUGAUUAUGUUUGACGAUUAAACUCUUAGUUUAGUUUUUAAAACUUUCGAUUUCAGUCUCACUUGCUUGCCUCGAUUUUAUAAUGGGUUAGCUGAUUUUGACAUAGCCAAUUAGCUUCCAAUUUGCUGCUUUGUAUUGUAUAUUGCUUCUAAGUGUGACUUAUAAGUUCGAUAGAGAUUCCUAUUUCAAUUUCUUGCUUCACCGGCUUGCUGAAUGUUUGUUUUGUUGGAGUAGCCGCCCUUCUGUUUAGCUGGUGAUAUCACUAGCAAGACCACUUUUGUGAGUUUCUUUGGCUUCUCAAAUGUCAAAGAGAAUGACCAAAAUGUGUCCAACAAUGAAAGGUCGCCAAGAGAUCCUAGAAUCUCCUCGACGGCCAUUUCAUUUGAGUCUAUCGAAAUAAGGAGGAGAACAAAAGAUACCGUAUCUCAUUAGCUCCUUUCUUUAGUUUAUUGAUUGUGUUUCCUUUUUUUAGUAAAAUUUUGAAGAUUGAUUCUUUUCUUUGGAUUCAUUUCAAGCCAAUAGUCCUGUUUGUUUGAAGUCCAUGAAAGAAUAAAAUGGCUUUGUUGAAGAAUAUUAUACAUGACAAUGGAUUUGGUCUUGUCGAUGUCCAAAAUCAUUGCUAUGUGUGUAUUCUCCCUCAAGGAUGGCUCGAUAUUUCUUUUAGUUAUUAAUUUCAAGGUCUAAAACUCUUGAGGUUUUGUAAGACCAUAGUUGGAGAAUAGCCGUAUUCGACUCUCAAGACUGCUGUUUUGAAUAAUGGAAAUUCGGGAGACUGCUUUGCACUAUCGCGACUUUAAGUAGUUUGAGGUUUAUUUGGAGUAAAAGAGGAACUUCUGGGGGUUUUGUUUUUCUUGAAUUUUUUAUUAUCUAUUUUGAGGCAUUUGUUGUAUAAUUUAACGCGACUCACGAGGUAUUUUUAAUUCGAUGAUAUUAAAAGAGACCUAGGAGUUUGCCAUAGAGCUGUGAUAACAAUCCAGGGAAUCUCUAAUAAACCUUGGUUUACAUUCUUGCACUAUUUGGCAAGGAGAGGAGGAUCUGUUUAAGGUUGUUAGCCUAAUUGAAUGAUAUUUGGAUCAGUGCAUGGAUUGUUUCCCGCCACUUGGCUAGGUUUAAAGGACUUAUUCAACUGACCAUGGUUUUCAGAUUGCGUUGCCCCCCCCUUCUUUGACUCUAUUUGUUUUCCUUUAGAGUGUGUCAUUAUUUCUGCCUCCAUAUUUCAUUCUCGCUUUUCCUUGCUUUCUUUUCUGGUUGGGGUUUUCUACAAUAUGUGUGGAAGUAGGCUUCGGGUAGGGUAAAGUUUCUGCAUGACUUAAUGAAUCUAUGUGAACAUAAAAGCUCGAUACGACUAAUAGAAUUAUCAUUUACGUUUGAAUUAAUCUGAAUAAUUAUACAUUACUUUACUGAACAAUUAUGAUGGGUACAGUAUGCUAUAACUUAGAGUUGAGUAGUUUAUGCUUCGUGUACAAUCCCGCAUUUUAAGAUUAACCUGUAUUCCAUCUGUCUAUUCGUAACUUCGAUGAUCGUUGAUGAUAUCUCUGAAAAAGGAUAGAUAGAACACUCUCAGAAUUUAAACCCCGAAACCCUUUCCCAGUGCUUUUUCCUGAAUAUGAUAAUGGGUGCUAAAUCCUCUUAUGUAUUCUGUGGGACCACCUUGAGCAUGAAGUAUAAUCCUUCUGAUUGCUAUUUGUGGUUUAUUAUGAUGAAUGAUCAGUUACACUAAGUUUAAAGGUCUAAUGUAGUGCCUUAACCCUUUUCUCUUUAUUUUGAUGCAUGGGGAUUCGUUGGAGUCCAAACGGACUCUUUGCAUUCCCUAAUGGGCCAAUAAGAACCAUCCAUUAAGUUGAGCUCGGAAGAGAGUAUAAGAUAGCAUAGCAUAUAGCAUACGAAUGCGAGUUGUUGAAGGAAGAAGAAAGUAGAUCAGAGUUUCAUCUUUGAAGCAGCUAUGAGAUUCGAAAGUCUCAUUUAUUAUUUUGUCCAUUUACUUAUUGUUGUAUUUAUUUAUUUAUUGAUUGAUUUUCUUAUUUACUUAUUUGGGCCUCGAAGCCAAAGUUGUACUUAAUACAGGUGAAGCAGGACUCGAGCUAAAGGCUCGAAAACAUAGAAUUAGGACAGGUGAAAAUGGGUCGACAACCUAACUAGAUUAGGACAGGGUCGACGGUUUGAGCUUAAAAGCCUAAAUCACUACUUCUCCAUUUUUCCCCUUUUCCUUUUAUUUACUUGUUUGCUUGUCUCUUUGCGAACCUAGUUAAAUCCCUAACUAAGUCGCUAAAAAACUGAUUUUGCGAAAACCUUUUCCUUAACCAAUUACUUUUUCAACAAAUCAAUCUUCCAAAGUUAGUCAAAAGAUGUUUUCAAACAGUCCGGAUAACUGCAAGUUAGCGGACGUUUUAGGUGCCUUACACCUUCCUAAAACGUUAAUAGAAAUCACUUACUCGGAAUCUUCAAAAUUUAAAACGAUUUUUCUAUUUUGAAUCGUUUGAAAUCUCUCUCUAAAGGUUUCUUAAUUCCUUUUCAAAAUUAAGUGGUGACUCUCAAAAAUCAAAAUUUUCGCAAAACAACCAGUACAGUUGAAACAAAGAUAAUCCUCGAUUUGAUAGUCACCAAUACAAGCUUCUAAAUAUAAAAAUGAAAGAAGUUUUGAGUAUUUCAAAAUGCGAAAAGCUUAUAAAAUAAGGGUGAAGGAGAUUUCAGUAGUCUCUGAAAUCAAUAGCAGCUACCUCGAAUUUCUAAAGAUGCUAACACAGAAGAAACCAUAGGAAUCAAUAACAGAGGUCGUCGGAUUUGUAUCUGCACAUAAAAUAUAGAAAAGUAAGGGUGAGUACGAAAUCACAUGUACUCAACAAGCAUCGUUGACCGACUCUAACUCAAAGUGGUGACGAGUAACACCACGUCAACCCUCAAAAACAACGAGACAACCUGCACUCAUGAACUUGUUAAAACGAUAUUUAUAAACUUGAGAUCAUGAUUAAUAAUUAUGUUUACCGCAAUAAAACAGAUAUCAAUAGCCUACUGGAUUAUCUGUGUGAAAAUGAUACAUGUUCAUAGAUCGAGAGUUUAGAAGAAAUUGUGGAUAUAAUCAGAGAAAACGAUGUUGAUGAUGAAGCUGAAGACGAUACAAUAUUUUUGGAACUAGUUACUCGUAAGGAAGCACUUAUCGCAUCUAGAACUCUUCGCAAUUUUUUUGUGCAAUUUGAAAAGACAUCACCAAAAUAUUUGGAUGCAAUAAGAAAAGUUAGAGAGGAGCUUCAAGUAGAUUUAAAUUUUAACCAAAAAAAAUUACUAGAAUCAUAUUUCACUAAAUUGUCUUAGAUAUUUUUGUAAUUUUAAAGAAUUAUUAAUUUAUAAUAAUAAUAAUAAUGAAACCAUAUAUUUAUAUAGGGGUCUUUCAAAAAUAUAUUAACUAAAUAUC
RNAcentral lists this long non-coding RNA (19793 nucleotides) under Capsicum annuum. Its description in RNAcentral is "long non-coding RNA (CANN_LNC018056)". Lineage: Eukaryota; Viridiplantae; Streptophyta; Magnoliopsida; Solanales; Solanaceae. The record is from RNAcentral.